Molecule: non-coding RNA, 72 nt
Organism: Parelaphostrongylus tenuis
Lineage: Eukaryota; Metazoa; Nematoda; Chromadorea; Rhabditida; Metastrongylidae
Source: the annotation of a GenBank genome assembly
GCGCUAUUAGUGCAUUGGUUCAUACGCCCCCUUUGAAAGGGUGAAACGUGGGUUCAACCCUCACAUGGUGUC